ACGGAGGGUGCAAGCGUUAUCCGGAAUUACUGGGUUUAAAGGGUGCGUAGGCGGUACAUUAAGUCAGAGGUGAAAGGUUAUCGCUUAACGAUAAGAUUGCCUUUGAUACUGGUGUACUUGAAUCAGAAUGAGGUUGGCGGAAUGUGACAUGUAGCGGUGAAAUGCAUAGAUAUGUCAUGGAACACCGAUUGCGAAGGCAGCUGACUGGAACUUGAUUGACGCUGAGGCACGAAAGCGUGGGGAGCGAACAGG
This 252-nucleotide ribosomal RNA is filed under the name uncultured bacterium. RNAcentral describes it as "partial 16S ribosomal RNA". It matches the Rfam family "Bacterial small subunit ribosomal RNA", at positions 525 to 776 of the family's 1533-position model. The record is from RNAcentral.